This is a long non-coding RNA of Seriola aureovittata, 3742 nucleotides long. RefSeq lists it as uncharacterized. NCBI's taxonomy places the organism in Eukaryota, Metazoa, Chordata, Actinopteri, Carangiformes, Carangidae. The transcript is spliced from 4 exons. The record is from RefSeq and is a predicted model, not a curated record.
CUGCAGUGAGAGCAGCACAGUCAUAGAUUAUAAUCAAGUCUGGGCAGGAGUCAGGGGUGAAGAUGAAGAGAACCAGAUGUAAUUUCACUCUGACCUCUGGGUUUUGUGGAGUUGUGGAUGAAGAAAAUGGAUUAUGGACUCUUCAAAGCUUUCAGAAGUAUAGCAGAGGCCAACAGGACAGUAAGAACUGAAUGCAAAGUUCACCGUGUGCUUUUGUGGCUAGAAGACGAAAUUCAGGAGUUUUGGAAAGAGGAGGCUAAAAACUGGUCCUGAAACCUGCUGAGCUCAACCACAGCUGGAAGGAUACAACAGCUGGCUUCACAUCUGUUUCAAUCAGGAUAAAUCUAUCCCACUCUUAAUCAGUCAUGACAGAGCCAUCUUCAGGCUGGUGGAAGUUCACGUUCCUGAGGAGAAAAAAAUCCCAACCCAAGGUUCUGUAUGAAAUCCCUGCAGAUGUUGUUUCCAAUGCCACUAGUGGCCAGCAUGGGUCGGGGGCUGCAACCGGAGCCGUCGCCCAUGCAGAGGUAACCAUGCACGACUCCCAGCUGGACGCUCGCUUGGAGAGGAUCGUGGAUAAAACAACGGCCAGCAAGGGGCGCCAUGUCAAGGUGUCCCACUCUGGAAGGUUUAAGGAAAAGAAGAAAAUGCGAGCCACGCUCGCAGAGAGCCCAGAGAUGUUUCCAGGAGGUCCAGAGGGCUGACGUGACAGGACACACAAAUACUCAGAAAAUAAAUAUGAAUGAACUAACACAAAGACAUAGAAACAUAAAGACACAAUCACAGAUCCAUUUAAAGAACCAUUUCAAUUUUUGUGCAUUUAAGGCUCUGUCAGUUUUUAUAGAGCCAUAAAAUCCAAAUCUGGGAAAAUCCUGAUUUUUAAUAUCUUGUCCUGCGCUCUUAGGGACAUCUAGUGGUCAUUAUAGGAACUGUGGUGGUUUCUGCUUCAUAAUGGGACAACAGCAGUGUCAACCUUUCCUGUAAAUCUUCAACCACUAUAUUGUCUACCUGCACUGGGAUCAAGCCUGUGACCUUUCAUUUGGUGGAUGGCCCAUUUAACUAGUAGAGCAACCUGCCCUGUCACAGCAUAAGAAGCACGGGAUCAUUUUUGCUGCACUUUGCCCCAGCUGUCGAGGCCACUGUGACCAGGCCUCUGGAGCUCCUGUGAGACUGCAACUGUACAGUCAUGGACAGUUUCUUGAACUCAGAGUCAGGAUCCAAAAAUAUGUUUUGGAAAAAAAAAAGACACACAAUCACGAACAAAAACCAGCCUGUAGAUGUCAAAAUGAUAGAGGGAACAUUUGUAAAGCAAAUCACAAAGGUUGGAGGUGACCUCUCUUGACUCUAGAUUGGCAAUUAAUAAUAAGGUUCAGGUAUAUACUGUAUUUUGUUAUUACAUACCUUUAACCAAUCAUAUCGGUUGAUUGAUAAUAUCUGUGGUAAAUGUGCAAUAAUGGUUUUUGAAGUCAAACUAGAAUAGGUGCAUUUUCUGAAGAAAAUGUGUGUGAUUGCUACAUCUGCUGCUGUUACUUCACAUUAAUCAAAUGUGUGUAGAUUGUCAAAACAUAUAUUGCAUUUUCACAGUAAGCACAAGGGACAUAGUUACAAUUUUCUGAUAUUCCAUUUUAUAAAUACAACAGAAUUGUAGAAAUAUCAUAUUAUGUUAUUAAAAAAUGUGUUGCCCAUAUCAAUCGAAUCGUACGGUGGCCCUGAGGGCUCAAUGCACAGCAACUUAAAAACAAAUGCAAACAGUCAAAACUCAAACAAAUUCAGAAAACAUCUUCAUCACAUUUGACAACAGAUGUGCUGCAAAUACUCACAAUACAACCAAAUACAUAAACAUGCUGCAAGUAGCACAGAUGACCCCGGAAGUGUGUGGAAACAAAGGUUAUGAACCCAGCUGCGGCGCACUUGCAUGGAUGUAUAAUAAUACAUAUAAUUCAAUGCUUUUAACUUCAAAAGUCACAAAGCAUUGAACAACAUGUGCGCCCCAUCUGGGUUCAUCACUUUUAGUGACCCCUUGAAAACACUUCCGGCUACUUGCAGCAUGUUUGUAUUAUUUGGUUGUGUUGUAUUUGCAGCACAUCUGUUGUUAAAUUAAUAAAGCUGUUCUCUGAAUUUGUUUGUUUUGACUGUUUGCAUGUUGUUUAAGUUGCAGUGUGUUGAUCUCUCAGUGCCAUGGUAGAAUUAAUCCAGGGAACCCACUGUACGAAAAUAUUUCCUGUAACAGUUCAUGAGUAAAAUGCUUAAGAACUAACCAAAGGUGGUGCUGUUGAAUACAUACUCUAAUAUGUUGAGCGUAUCUCCAUGGGGCACCUGUGUACCAUUGUAUCAACUAUGUCUCUUCAUUUUCUUGUGUUAAGUAUGGUGUCCCUCAGGGGUCAGUUCUGGGACCAGUUUUACAUGCUUUCCAUUGAACACAUUAUUCAGAGACGGAGUGUCUCUUUCCACUACUUUGCUGGAAAGCUGGGUUCACUUAAUCUCUGCCUUCAUGAUGUUGUACAAAUUUUCUUCUGCUAAAUUUAAACAAAACAAAAAUGAUUAUCUUUGGAUCCCAGCACAUGGGAAAUUCUGCCAUCUGCUGGUCCUAUGGAACACAUCACUGUCAUGGAAUAUCUUGGGUUAUGUCAGAAAUCACUCACUACUCACUUUUUGAUUUUGAAAAAAGCUCUAUAAAUAAAGAUUAUUGUUGUUGUUAUUAUUAUUAUUAUUAUUAUCAUUUUUAUUAUUUGUAAAUAUUUAUAAAAAUGUUCACAAUUUUCUGUGAUUGUUUAAAUUUGGUAGCCUAUGUCAAUCCUGCAAAAUGCAAUGUAUGUAUUAUAAACAUUUUUUGUAAAUCUAUUGUUGAUGUAUAUCAACAUAUAUAUAUAUAAAAUGAUUUUAAUAGUAAAGCCAAGUAAUAGCCGAGUGUAUCAUUUAUCAGCAGUGCAAGCAGAUUAAAAGACUGUCACACAAUGUUCAUGAGCAAUGAUCACUAUAAUAAUAAAUCACCUGAUCUGCACAAAGCUGUCGGGGUCACUUCAAAACCACAAGAGGAGUCCUCACUCCAUGUCAAAAGUAUGUUCCUGAACCUUGGCACCACAAUGAAAAGAUGACACUGUUUGGUACAAUGAGGCCCUCCAGUGGUCAGAGCCAAAACUAUUAACAAUCUCCAUAUUUGAAUGGAGAUUGUUGAGCUCACAUCCUAGACAAUACACAGCAAUACAUACUGGUUUAUUUUAUUGUAAAAGUCAUCAUAUGAUAAUAAUAGAAUUUAUCCUAAACUGUUUACUGAGCUCUGAAGGCAGCUCCGUCCUUUUUGCUCUGAUCUGCAUUGUCAGCUGUGAGACUUUGUCUUUCCAAAUCAAGUUGAAUCAGUUUGCCACAGGUGGACUUCAAUCAAGGUGUAGAAACAUCUCAGAGAUGAUCCAGAGAAAUGGAGGAACCUCAACUAAACUUCAAAUGUCGUAGCAAAGUGUCUGAAUACUUAUAUAUUGAUGUGAUAUUUCAGUUUUUCCUUUUUAAAAAUAUCUUAAAACUUCUGUUUUUACGUUGUCAUUAUGGGGCAUUGUGUGUAAAUUGAUGAGGGAAAUAAUGAAUUUAAAUAGUUAGAAGAAGGCUGCAACAUAACAAUGUGAAAAAAGUGAAGGGCUUGAAGACUUUCUGAAUGCACUGUACAUGCAACUGACGUGGAUUAGUGACAAAUAAGAGAAGUUAAAGGAUGAAAUUUGAAUUGGAAAAUUAUCAUAAUAAAAACAUUAGAACA